Molecule: RNA transcript, 1424 nt
Organism: Branchiostoma floridae (Florida lancelet)
Lineage: Eukaryota; Metazoa; Chordata; Leptocardii; Amphioxiformes; Branchiostomatidae
Exons: 6
Source: RefSeq, a predicted model, not a curated record
CACGACAACUAUUGAUUACUAUUACAAACGUAUGGCCACUGUUUCAGUUUGAUGUUUGAAUCAUUAAUGUCGAUCGUGUAAAUAUCUAACCCCACGGACUACUUUUUUUACAACCUUUGUUGGUGUGUGACGUCCGAAGCAUGGUACGAAGUCAGGAAGGGCAAAUCAAUACAACCACGUCUUUCGAAACAUUGUCGACGUCAACGGCCGUCUGUCUACACUUCAGGGAAGUGCAACGUAAAUCGAAGAUGGUGAAGAUAUCAGACAGUGAUGAUCAGCCUGAGUCUUCCUCCAGCUUCUCAACCAUUUCAUCUCCUGUUGACCUCCCAACUCAUGGUACCCUGCUCCUCCACACUCCCAAAACAUUACAAGCCACCCAGGCAGCACAGAACCAACCGCUCAAACAAUAUUUCCAGUCAGAACUGUACUGCCAGUUCUCCUGUAAUGCUAGAGAGGUUCUGGAAAGAGUUGAGGCUGAGAGAAGGAGGAGGAGGGACAAAGAGCGCAUGGAGCCAUUGUUCAGACCUACAAAGUAUGUCAAACCACCAGUGUGGCCACCGGAGUCUCCUGUCAGCUCCAGAACUCGUCAACCUCUCAUCAGCCCUCACGGCUCACCUCCGCUGGUCAGACGGCCACUGGAACAGGCAACAAUGCCGGCUAAUCUGAACACAGAGGCAGUCCAGAUGCUUGUUGCCAAGCCUUUCAACACUAUUUGUAAAGGCAUUCAUGGUUAUGAUGACAAAUUUCCAAUUCUCAUGGUCAAGCCACCAAAAGACAAUGAUAGUCAGUCAUCAGAUGUACAGAAACUGGCAGUGAUGUCCAAACCAAAGAGAUAUGAGAGGAAAAGUAAGGGCCAUUUGAACAGUGGACCAAAGGCAUCUGAAGGAAAGCAAUGUGAAGAAAUUCAAGAGGUUUUGAACAAAACAGACUGCAACGACACUUUAGACUUUGGAUUUGCUGGCAAGAUGUCUCUUACAGAUCAGGCUCUGGAGUGUUUCCAGCUCCUUCCUGAUCGUGCCUUAACCCAGAUCUUCCUCCACCUGGACUCUCGCUCCUUGGGAGCAUUUAAGUGCUCAUGUCGAGACUUCAAGUAAGACUGUAAUCUUGAGAUGGUUGGUUGAAAUGUAUGAAGUCAGCAGGGCAGACGCCAAGUUGGACAGUGACCCUGCUGGAAAGGUGUGACAUUGUGGAGGUUUGCAGUACCCUUACAAGAAAUAUCACAGCAUAUAUAAACAUGUUGGACAUAUUUUGAGGCCUCAGACAUAGAUGUGCCUGGCAGCUAGGGGGGCUGCACGACAACAACUGCUUUCCAAGCCACAAGACACAGUUGCAAUUAUGACACAUGUGACAUUGCAAUAUCAAAGAACUACUUUUGCAAAUGUUGCCACGGAGAGAAUAAAUGUUGACUUUGUUUAACAACAGGA